This 380-nucleotide RNase P RNA is filed under the name Sulfuricaulis sp. Its description in RNAcentral is "RNase P RNA component class A". It matches the Rfam family "Bacterial RNase P class A". Rfam says of the family: Ribonuclease P (RNase P) is a ubiquitous endoribonuclease, found in archaea, bacteria and eukarya as well as chloroplasts and mitochondria. Its best characterised activity is the generation of mature 5'-ends of tRNAs by cleaving the 5'-leader elements of precursor-tRNAs. The record is from RNAcentral. Lineage: Bacteria; Pseudomonadati; Pseudomonadota; Gammaproteobacteria; Acidiferrobacterales; Acidiferrobacteraceae.
GGAGUCGGCCAGACAGUCGCUGUAGGCGCUUUAGGGCGCCUAUAGAGGAAAGUCCGGGCUCCAUAGGGUAGGGUGACGGCUAAUGACCGUCCGCCGUGAGGCGAGGAACAGGGCCACAGAGAAUAGACCGCCGAUGGCCACCGGACGCUCGGUGGAUCAGGUAAGGGUGAAAAGGUGCGGUAAGAGCGCACCGCGUUCGCGGUAACGCGAACGGCGAGGCAACCUCCACCCGGAGCAACACCAAAUAGGCAAGCGAUGACGUGACCCACCGAGCUUGCGGGUAGGUGGCUGGAGCGUGCGGGCAACCGCACGUCGAGAGGAAUGACUGUCGCGGCGGCGCAAGCUUCCGACAGAACCCGGCUUAUCGGCCGGCUCCCGCU